Molecule: ribosomal RNA, 301 nt
Filed under: uncultured bacterium
Lineage: Bacteria
Description: partial 16S ribosomal RNA
Rfam family: Bacterial small subunit ribosomal RNA
Source: RNAcentral
CAGCCGCCGCGGGAAUACAGAGGGUGCGAGCGUUAAUCGGAUUUACUGGGCGUAAAGCGUGCGUAGGCGGCUUUUUAAGUCGGAUGUGAAAUCCCUGAGCUUAACUUAGGAAUUGCAUUCGAUACUGGGAAGCUAGAGUAUGGGAGAGGAUGGUAGAAUUCCAGGUGUAGCGGUGAAAUGCGUAGAGAUCUGGAGGAAUACCGAUGGCGAAGGCAGCCAUCUGGCCUAAUACUGACGCUGAGGUACGAAAGCAUGGGGAGCAAACAGGAUUAGAUACCCCCGUAGUCCCUGUCUCUUAUAU